RNAcentral lists this ribosomal RNA (196 nucleotides) under uncultured bacterium. RNAcentral's name for it is "partial 16S ribosomal RNA". It matches the Rfam family "Bacterial small subunit ribosomal RNA", at positions 326 to 539 of the family's 1533-position model. The record is from RNAcentral.
ACGCUCGACAUACGGGAGCAGCAGUUGGGAAUAUUGGACAAUGGAGGAAACUCUGAUCCAGUGACGCCGCGUGAAGGAAGAAGGUCUUCGGAUUGUAAACUUAUUUGUCAGGGAAGAAAAAUGACUGUACCUGAAGAAAAAGACACCGGCUAACUACGUGCCAGCAGCCGAGGUAAUCUGAGCGGGCUGGCAAGGC